Molecule: long non-coding RNA, 373 nt
Filed under: Physcomitrium patens
Lineage: Eukaryota; Viridiplantae; Streptophyta; Bryopsida; Funariales; Funariaceae
Description: long non-coding RNA (PPAT_LNC005463)
Source: RNAcentral
UUUUUGGAAGUUUUUAGCCAAAAUCUUAUCAAAUUGCACAAGAUAUAGUUCGAAACACAACCACUAGCAAUUUGGGUGACUUAUUACCCUUAGAUUUGCAAGUACUAACUUCAACUACCAAUAUCUCCUUCACUCAAAUUUAAAAUCUAUCAAAUAUUAUACUAAAAGUGUAGCUAAGAAAAUACUCUCUCCAAUCCCAAUCACCAAUCCUCUGUUGCUUUCCGUAUUCAUGCCUUACAUCCAAAAGUGUGACAGUAGGUACAAAAUCAACACCCUAACUUUGAGCGCUCAUAUCUCUUUCAUAUAAACUCUAAAUGACUCAAAAUUUGCACCAAAACCAUAGCCAAAAUCCUAAACUUACUAACCUUAGUCU